Molecule: small nuclear RNA, 106 nt
Organism: Onychomys torridus (southern grasshopper mouse)
Lineage: Eukaryota; Metazoa; Chordata; Mammalia; Rodentia; Cricetidae
Source: RefSeq, a predicted model, not a curated record
GUGCUUGCUUCUGUAGCACAUAACGGUAAAAUUGAACAAUAGAGAGAUGAUUAGUAUGGCCCUACACAAAGAGGACAUGCGAACUUGUUAAGUGUUUCAUAUUUUU